RNAcentral lists this long non-coding RNA (433 nucleotides) under Polistes fuscatus (common paper wasp). RNAcentral describes it as "uncharacterized LOC122522350". Lineage: Eukaryota; Metazoa; Arthropoda; Insecta; Hymenoptera; Vespidae. The record is from RNAcentral.
UGUGGAGGCAGGCGACCAGAGAGUCGCGAGUUCCUCGUUUUCGUCACAGUUUCCAUGCCGUUCUGCGAGACGCUUUUGGAAAGGCUUCUCUAAUGGCGCUCGUCGACGUGAUCUCCCUUCGGUUUGAAAUUCUUCAGAGAUGGGGAGAGGGGACAAUGAGAAGAGAGUGAGAGAGAGAGAGAAGGAGGAAAGGAGGGAGGAUACAAUCGUAUAUGUGAACGUUGACAAGAGAAUGAUGUUUCUUUUGUGUAUUUCGUUUGAAAUUCUUGAGAGGGGGAUGAAAUUCGUGUUCGCGUGCGUUUAUUUUUUUGAAUCGAUUGAUAUUACGCGUGCAUUUGUUUAUUGUAUUACGUAAGAUUAAUAAUUAAUAAUAUUUAUCAAUUGUAUAUAUACAAAUAAGUUGGGAUGUUUUUAAAUGUUGAAUUUAUGCGUG